RNAcentral lists this unclassified non-coding RNA (342 nucleotides) under rhizosphere metagenome. RNAcentral's name for it is "partial ribosomal RNA internal transcribed spacer region". The record is from RNAcentral.
GUAGGUGAACCUGCGGAAGGAUCAUUAUUGAAUAUUCUUGAUGGGUUGUAGCUGGCUCUUCGGAGCAUGUGCACGCCUGUCUUGACUUAAUUCAUCCACCUGUGCACCUUUUGUAGUCUUGGGGGUUGAGUGCAGUCGACUGUCGGACCGGCUAUUGUGGCCUAUCCGGAUGUGAGGAAUGCUGAGUGCGGAAGCAUGCGGCUCUCUUCAAAACGACUUGUGAACCUCUCCCUCGAGUACUAUGUAUUCAUACACCACAUAGUAUGUUGUAGAAUGUGAUCAAUGGGCCUAUGUGCCUAUAAUAAUCAUAUACAACUUUCAGCAACGGAUCUCUUGGCUCUC